AAAAAAGAAAGCAAAGGUUAACAUUAUUGGUUUCUAAGUUCUAAUUUUUAGUAGGAGGCUCCGCCAACAGUUUUUGAACAUUGUUCCUUUAGCAUAGGAGGAAAAAACGGAUUGAACGGAAGUUGCGGAAUACAAUUGGUUUCGGCUUCCAAAAUUGCUUUGCAACAAGCUGAACCUAUCUUGCCGAACUUUUCUAAGAGUAUGGAUUGCGAAAACUCUACGAUGCACCCUGGAAUAUUUAUCACAGAUGAUAAACAUUUUGUUAUAUCAGGUAAUCCUGGUACACCGGGACUCGGUAGAAAUGGAAAUGGAAAAGGAAAAAGUGCCGGAAAUUGUGGUAAUUGGGCAUUUACAGACAAUGCAAUGCAUAAAACCGCUAGAAAUAAGAUCACGUUUUUUAUAGCCAUAAU
This 410-nucleotide small RNA is filed under the name Arabidopsis thaliana (thale cress). RNAcentral describes it as "ATSL289800". Lineage: Eukaryota; Viridiplantae; Streptophyta; Magnoliopsida; Brassicales; Brassicaceae. The record is from RNAcentral.